AAGAGAUCGAUGUAUGUUAAGUGUAUUAGUAUCAAUUAUGCUUUAUGAAUGCUGAGUCAUUUGUGCUAAACAACAAUUCCUUUUCUAAUUUCUUUCCUUUUUGAAGUUUGGCAUUUUCACAUGCCCAGAAGUCUUUUGAAUUCCUAUAAACCAGCAUAAUGGCAUUAACAGCUGUCAGAUGAUAUUUUGUCCAAAAGAUGCCAGCAACUAAUCAGUGUGGCCGAGCCAUGACUCUGAGACGUCGGCCUGGGGGUUUUGUGAGGGCCCCUGGUGAUACACCAUAUUAAGGGCCACAGUGGCCCUAUUUGAUACACGUCGCCCCAUCAAACACAGGCAUAGACUCACUCUGAUCAGAAGCCAAAGGUGCUGGGUCAUCUUUAACACAGGGUUGAGCCUGUCUCCAAUGAAACAUCCCAGAGUUACAGUCAGAGCACUGGCUUUGAGUCCUCUUAUAGGAAAGAGCGGUUCCCAACGCCACCAAUUUGGUGCACUUCUUCAGCGAAAUAAAGGUUUUGGAGUCAGUCACAGUGUCUUUAAGCUACGAGUGAAACGCGAACAGCAGCCCUUCACCGGCUCAGAUUUCGGCAACACACUGGCACACGGUGAAAAGUAAAUUACAGAGAACGGUUGAAUACACUUAAAUUAACA
Cyprinus carpio (common carp) is the source of this 648-nucleotide long non-coding RNA. RefSeq lists it as uncharacterized. The transcript is spliced from 4 exons. The record is from RefSeq and is a predicted model, not a curated record. Lineage: Eukaryota; Metazoa; Chordata; Actinopteri; Cypriniformes; Cyprinidae.